CCUACGGGAGGCAGCAGUGGGGAAUAUUGGACAAUGGGCGGAAGCCUGAUCCAGCAACGCCGCGUGAGGGAUGACGGCCUUCGGGUUGUAAACCUCUUUCAGCAGGGACGAAGCGCAAGUGACGGUACCUGCAGAAGAAGCACCGGCCAACUACGUGCCAGCAGCCGCGGUAAUACGUAGGGUGCGAGCGUUGUCCGGAAUUAUUGGGCGUAAAGGGCUCGUAGGCGGUCCGUCGCGUCGGGAGUGAAAACUCAGGGCUUAACCCUGAGCCUGCUUCCGAUACGGGCGGACUAGAGGUAGGUAGGGGAGAACGGAAUUCCUGGUGUAGCGGUGGAAUGCGCAGAUAUCAGGAGGAACACCGAUGGCGAAGGCAGUUCUCUGGGCCUUACCUGACGCUGAGGAGCGAAAGCGUGGGGAGCGAACAGGAUUAGAUACCCUGGUAGUCCACGCCGUAAACGUUGGGCGCUAGGUGUGGGACUCAUUCCACGAGUUCCGUGCCGCAGCUAACGCAUUAAGCGCCCCGCCUGGGGAGUACGGCCGCAAGGCUAAAACUCAAAGGAAUUGACGGGGGCCCGCACAAGCGGCGGAGCAUGCGGAUUAAUUCGAUGCAACGCGAAGAACCUUAC
This 626-nucleotide ribosomal RNA is filed under the name uncultured Nocardioides sp. Its description in RNAcentral is "bacterial SSU rRNA". It matches the Rfam family "Bacterial small subunit ribosomal RNA", at positions 338 to 974 of the family's 1533-position model. Lineage: Bacteria; Bacillati; Actinomycetota; Actinomycetes; Propionibacteriales; Nocardioidaceae. The record is from RNAcentral.